Molecule: long non-coding RNA, 2061 nt
Filed under: Phasianus colchicus (ring-necked pheasant)
Lineage: Eukaryota; Metazoa; Chordata; Aves; Galliformes; Phasianidae
Description: lncRNA (ENSPCLG00000020570.1)
Source: RNAcentral
UGCAAGUUAUUUAAGGUUCUUCCUGGCAGACCUUAAUAUGUGUAUAUAUAGUAAUAAAUGUAUAUAUAAAAGCAGGACUUUUUUUCCCCUAAAAAGUGUUUUCAAAUUAAUUGUCCUGCUCCCCCAUGACUCCACCAAGAAUCUUUUUAUUUGGAAAAUGAUUCCUUUAAUAAAGUUAUUUUAAAUAAUGCUGUUUCAAAUCAAGGUAAAAAAGCCUCAAGGGCAAAAUACAGUCCAUUUCAAAUUCUUUCCACCUAAAUAUUUUAAAUGGCAGUAUUUGUGAUUUUGCUUUCUACUACCUCUUAAACUCAAGAAAUCAAUUCAGAAAUGUUUCUAACUGGCCAUAUUGCCCCCACACUGCUGCCCUCCCAUGUCCUUCUUUCCCUCCUGCUCUCCCCAGGCAAGAUUUUGUCAUGGACUCUUUCUGGGAUUGCUGUUCAGCUCAGGGUCAUGCCCCAGCUUUUGUCUUAGCUCCAUCCCUGCCACCACCGCUGGAUGACUGCUGCCUCUGCUCUACUCACGCUCUGCCCCAGAGCUAUUUGUGCUUGAUCUUUCUGUCCUGCUCCAAGGGACAUGACUUGUUGCAGAGGAGGUCUACCAAAAAAGGAACCAAACAGAGAUAGUCUCACACGCCCAUGCUUGCAGAGCUUUCCAAACAAUGACUCAGCAAUGAGACCUCUCUUGGCCAUCUUGCAACAACCGGCAUGGCAGAGUGACAGUGAUGACAGUUCAGUGUCAACAGUAGUACUUCAAUGGCUUCCAGUAAUUUAAGCAAAGACUGUGGCUUCUUCUUGUUAGUAGGGAUUCUUCUGCAGAGACAAAACAAAGACCUGACCUUACAGCUAGUCAUUCCUAUGAAGAGGCUACACAUAAAUAUACUGCCCAUAAGGCCACACAGGAAUCUCAGCACUGAGACCCCUCAAACUGCAAUGGAGGGAACACAGCUGCCACAAAUGCCACCUUCUCUUCCCAAAGAGCUGUUGCCAGGACAGAAGAAGAAUGAGCACGCCCUAUGGAGAAAUGUUGAACCUCUGUUGUCAACGCAAACCAAAAGACAAUGAAAAAGCUGAAAUGAGCACCAUGAAGCAGAGACACACCUCGAAUGCUGCCCCAUGACAGAAGUGAACUCUGAGCUCAGCUACUCGUGACAGAUGACAGAUACCCAACUCCAGCAAAGUGAAGGGGAAGACCUAAGACAGGAGUAGAAAAGCAGUGCUUGGGGUUUUCCAACACACCUUGCAAGAAAAAAAGGUUCCAAAAGACUUAGAAGAAAGCCUCCGUUUCCAGACAAGCUUCAUGGAUUCCACAGGUUUACACAUUCAUGAAAAUUUUGGCUGUAGACACGUGCUUGGGGAUUUUCAAGUUAAUCUUCAUAAAUUCAGAGGUUCCUUGAUUAUUUCAAUUCCUUGGGUAGAACAGAGCUUAUGUUCCAAACAUGAAAUACUUCAAAGCGAAUCCUUCUUCUGGCUUUUAAGAUGUACACAGUGAUCCGUGCGCUUACGAGUAGACAGUGCAUUUAACAGUAUGUCAAAAUGUAUGCAGAGGACGUUGACUAUCAUGCAUUUAAAGAUGUCUCAAAGCAUGGAAACAGUGACGAGGGCCUUGCUUUUGACACAGGUGUGCUCUCGAGGCCAGGAGCGACUUUCAGGGCUGUUUCACGGACAUGUGGAGGAGCAGGAAGAAGCCCGCAGCCUUCCAAACCGCAGCGGGGUGCUCAGGCUUUGUUUCCCACAACUCUAGGACUGCAUGUCUCCUAUGGGAAACUGCAACUUCACAGGUCGAAUUACUGACUGAGGACACCUAGUGGGAUUUUGGUAGACAUCAACGCCACAAAAACUCAUUUCUCUAAGGGACUGAUUUAUUAACCAUUACUACCAUUAAGCCUUUUUAAAACAGUCAACAAUAACAAAAAUCCCUAUAUACAUUAAAAAAAAUAAUCAGUUACUGAUGCCAUAGAAAUAUCCCAGAGUAUCUUCCCAAAUGUUUGCUAAUCUUGGUCAUUCCAUCACAAGCUCUUUUUGUCCUUUCCACAUUCUUUGCUCAAACUGCUAUUUCUCAAAG